Molecule: ribosomal RNA, 90 nt
Filed under: Anoxybacillus tengchongensis
Lineage: Bacteria; Bacillati; Bacillota; Bacilli; Caryophanales; Anoxybacillaceae
Source: RNAcentral
CCCGUUCCCAUCCCGAACACGGAAGUUAAGCUCUCCAGCGCCGAUGGUAGUUGGCGGGACACCGCCUGCGAGAGUAGGACGUUGCCGGGC